Setaria italica (foxtail millet) is the source of this 572-nucleotide long non-coding RNA. RefSeq lists it as uncharacterized. The record is from RefSeq and is a predicted model, not a curated record. NCBI's taxonomy places the organism in Eukaryota, Viridiplantae, Streptophyta, Magnoliopsida, Poales, Poaceae. The transcript is spliced from 2 exons.
ACCAACAAAUAUAAUCCAUCAGAAACAUCGGCUAGAAAAUAUAAGCUUGAGUGGGAUUGAGAACAUGGCGACUCCUCCUGCACGUCAUUCCAGCAAGGCAGAGGAGCUACGAAAGGCUACUACCUUCCACCCAAGCCUGUGGGGUGAUUUCUUCCUGACAUACCAGCCACCAACGGCACCUCAGGAUUGCAGGUGGUGGGGCUGCUAUACUAAUCCUAGCACCUGCUUGAUGACGACGACGUCUUUGGUUGCCAUUUCCCGUCUGGCCGUCUUGGAGGCACCAUCACUCCGUCCCCAUUUCAACCCAUCUUUUUGUGAAAACUUCACCCCCAGUCUGGCAAGUGGUAGUGGCAACUAUUGUUGUGUCCUUAAUUAGUGGAGGAGUCGCGUUCCAGGAAUUUUACGUGGUGGUUCACUUUGUGUACUAUGCUUCCCAAUUUAAUGUCUUCAGUGGCUAUGGGUAUCGUCUUACAUAUUCAUGUUGCCUAUAAAAAUGGAUGAGAAUGUUGAUGGCAACGAUCUUGGCUUGGUGGUCAAAACUUCAAGCAAUAGAUGAAGUUGUUUUCUCCUCA